UAUCCCUCUUUAAAAAUCAUGGUAAGAUAGAUACGGUCCCACAUUUUCCCUGCAUAUAUUAUAAAGGUAUGGUCUUCUCUCCUUAAAACCCUACAAAUGAUCUGAUUUUCAUGGACACAAACAAAAGGAUGAAAAGAGGAUGUGCGCCACUUGCUGGCAUAAUACUCGACAUUUUGCCAGCCCUUUAGCCCUGCCUCUUGAAUUCUCUUGCAUCCCCUUUGGUCCCAUACACAUGUGGAAUAUCUGUUCUUCUAUGGAGAAUGAUCUUUGCUAUAGUCAUCAUGUAUACGAGGAAUAUUAUCUCAGCUACCUUUACCUGCUGCUGACCUCCAUUUGCACUGAGUAGGGUUUAAAAACUCUGAAUUAAUGCUGCAGCUGGUUGUGGGAACAGUUAAUAGUAGAUAAAAAUUGACUAUUUUUAUUUUUCUGUUUCAACAAG
This is a non-coding RNA of Phasianus colchicus (ring-necked pheasant), 439 nucleotides long. The record is from RefSeq and is a predicted model, not a curated record. Lineage: Eukaryota; Metazoa; Chordata; Aves; Galliformes; Phasianidae.